UCCGAAGGGGGCGAGCGUUGUUCGGAAUUACUGGGCGUAAAGGGCGCGUAGGCGGCCCUGGAAGUCAGGCGUGAAAGCCCCGGGCUCAACCUGGGAAUUGCGCUUGAUACUCUGGGGCUUGAGUUCGGGAGAGGAGAGUGGAAUUCCCAGUGUAGAGGUGAAAUUCGUAGAUAUUGGGAAGAACACCGGUGGCGAAGGCGGCUCUCUGGACCGAGACUGACGCUGAGACUCGAAAGCAUGGGGAGCAAACAGG
This 253-nucleotide ribosomal RNA is filed under the name uncultured bacterium. Its description in RNAcentral is "partial 16S ribosomal RNA". It matches the Rfam family "Bacterial small subunit ribosomal RNA", at positions 524 to 776 of the family's 1533-position model. The record is from RNAcentral.